Molecule: transfer RNA, 77 nt
Filed under: Caldilineaceae bacterium
Lineage: Bacteria; Bacillati; Chloroflexota; Caldilineae; Caldilineales; Caldilineaceae
Description: tRNA-Arg
Rfam family: tRNA
About the family: Transfer RNA (tRNA) molecules are approximately 80 nucleotides in length.
Source: RNAcentral
GUCCCGGUAGCUCAGUGGAUUAGAGCGCUUCCCUGCGGAGGAAGAGGUCGCAGGUUCGAGUCCUGCCCGGGACGCCA